This 613-nucleotide ribosomal RNA is filed under the name uncultured Flavobacterium sp. RNAcentral describes it as "bacterial SSU rRNA". It matches the Rfam family "Bacterial small subunit ribosomal RNA", at positions 1 to 608 of the family's 1533-position model. The record is from RNAcentral. Lineage: Bacteria; Pseudomonadati; Bacteroidota; Flavobacteriia; Flavobacteriales; Flavobacteriaceae.
GAAUUCACUAGUGAUUGAGUUUGAUCCUGGUUCAGGAUGAACGCUAGCGGCAGGCCUAACACAUGCAAGUCGAGGGGUAGAACACUUCGGUGUUUGAGACCGGCGCACGGGUGCGUAACGCGUAUGCAAUCUACCUUGUACAGGGGAAUAGCCCAGAGAAAUUUGGAUUAAUGCCCCAUAGUAUAUAACCUUCGCAUGUUGGUUAUAUUAAAGUUCCAACGGUACAAGAUGAGCAUGCGUCCCAUUAGUUAGUUGGUAAGGUAACGGCUUACCAAGACGAUGAUGGGUAGGGGUCCUGAGAGGGAGAUCCCCCACACUGGUACUGAGACACGGACCAGACUCCUACGGGAGGCAGCAGUGAGGAAUAUUGGUCAAUGGUCGCAAGACUGAACCAGCCAUGCCGYGUGCAGGAAKACGGUCCUAUGGAUUGUAAACUGCUUUUAUACAGGAAGAAACCCUCCCACGUGUGGGAGCUUGACGGUACUGUAGGAAUAAGGAUCGGCUAACUCCGUGCCAGCAGCCGCGGUAAUACGGAGGAUCCAAGCGUUAUCCGGAAUCAUUGGGUUUAAGGGUCCGUAGGCGGUCUUAUAAGUCAGUGGUGAAAGCCCAUCGC